RNAcentral lists this ribosomal RNA (305 nucleotides) under uncultured bacterium. RNAcentral's name for it is "partial 16S ribosomal RNA". It matches the Rfam family "Bacterial small subunit ribosomal RNA", at positions 333 to 654 of the family's 1533-position model. The record is from RNAcentral.
UUGUUCCUACGGGGGGCAGCAGUGGGGAAUAUUGCACAAUGGGGGGAACCCUGAUGCAGCGACGCCGCGUGAAGGAAGAAGUAUUUCGGUAUGUAAACUUCUAUCAGCAGGGAAGAAAAAGGACGGUACCUGACUAAGAAGCCCCGGCUAACUACGUGCCAGCAGCCGCGGUAAUACGUAGGGGGCAAGCGUUAUCCGGAUUUACUGGGUGUAAAGGGCGUGUAGGCGGGCAUGCAAGCCAGAAGUGAAAUCUGGGGGCUUAACCCCCAAACUGCUUUUGGAACUGCGUGUCUUGAGUGAUGGAG